RNAcentral lists this ribosomal RNA (205 nucleotides) under Clostridioides difficile. Its description in RNAcentral is "partial 23S ribosomal RNA". It matches the Rfam family "Bacterial large subunit ribosomal RNA", at positions 433 to 640 of the family's 2925-position model. The record is from RNAcentral. Lineage: Bacteria; Bacillati; Bacillota; Clostridia; Peptostreptococcales; Peptostreptococcaceae.
CCUGUGGGAAGCAGGAGGGACCACCCUCCAAGGCUAAAUACUACCUAGUGACCGAUAGCGUAUAGUACCGUGAGGGAAAGGUGAAAAGAACCCCGGGAGGGGAGUGAAAUAGAACCUGAAACCCUGCACUUACAAGCUGUGGAAGCACAUUUCUUGUGUGACCGCGUACUUUUUGUAGAACGGGCCAACGAGUUACGUUAAGUAG